AGUAACACGUAUCCAACCUGCCGAUGACUCGGGGAUAGCCUUUCGAAAGAAAGAUUGAUACCCGAUGGCAUAGUUCUUCCGCAUGGUAGAACUAUUAAAGAAUUUCGGUCAUCGAUGGGGAUGCGUUCCAUUAGGUUGUUGCGGGUAACGGCCCACCAAGCCUUCGAUGGAUAGGGGUUCUGAGAGGAAGGUCCCCCACAUUGGAACUGAGACACGGUCCAAACUCCUACGGGAGGCAGCAUG
This 243-nucleotide ribosomal RNA is filed under the name uncultured bacterium. Its description in RNAcentral is "partial 16S ribosomal RNA". It matches the Rfam family "Bacterial small subunit ribosomal RNA", at positions 109 to 353 of the family's 1533-position model. The record is from RNAcentral.